AUUCAUUAAGGUUCAGGGUUAAUGAUGGUCUUAGUGUUUUAAUGUUAAAAAAGAAAAGAAAAUUGUGUAAUUAAAGAAGAAGCGUUGCUUAAUUAAGGCUGGGAAGAAACGUUGCUUCUCUCCUUCCCUCGUGACUUCUCGACCGCUCCGACUCUUCUGGUGAUCUCUCCUCGGCGAAGCGGUGAAAACAAAGGAAAGAAAAAUAUCUCAACCUAUCAAGAGUCUCCUUUCAUCUCCAUCUCCAAAAGAUGGCUUCCUCGUGGAGAAAGUACAAGACCCGAAAGCGAGACCCAAGCCCUCAAAACGUCGUUCUUCUCGUCAUCGAUUUACAAAACCACUUCUCCUCCAUGGCCAAUCCUAUCCUCUACAACGCUCUCGCCACCAUCGACCUCUGCCGAUGCGCCUCUAUCCCCGUAUUGUUCACGCGCCACGUCCACAAAUCCCUUACGACUGACACCGCCAUGCUCGGCGAGUGGUGGAACGAGUUGCAGCUUCAGCUUUAUGGGUUGUAUAAGAUUGCUACCGAAGGAGGUUGUUAAUAACUGCUCGUGCUAAGUGUUGAGGUAUCUUCAUGUUGGAGUCAUGUAUGUAUCACCAAGUUCACAUCUGAUUCAAGAGAAGAUGAUUGCCUGAUCAUGUUUAGUUGAGUGAGAUAGUUGACGUAUCUUCACAUUGGAGUCAUGUGGGUAUCACCAAGUUAACAGCUUGCAUUUAUAACGGUGCUUGUUGGUGAAGGGAUGGAAAGGAUCAAGCUGGAGCUUUCCCCGCCGGAAGAAGAGUAAGGAUGAAGAAGACUAUGCAUGUGCUAUACGUGAGGAUAGGUACAGAACAUGAGAAGUUUGGUUUUGAGGUUAAUACUUUGCGCCCUAUGAAGUAUGAUCAAAUAGCCAAGCUGCUUAACAGUAUUGCCGAAAGAUUUGAAUGGGAGAAAUUCAUGGAAGGUGACAAGAUCAUACUUAGCAGAAGGGAUUUUAAUAUGAGUGUUUUGGCUGCGUACACGCGGCCUAACUCAGUGUCUGAAAUUGUCAAGGUACAUUGUAAACACUGUUGCUACUGUUAAAGCUCCCAAAUAUUUUAAGCUCUUGUAACACAGUUUCUGGCAACCAAAUAAAACAUUUUGCAAGUGAAUUUGCUAAAUAUAGAAAAAUAAUCUUAUGGUCUUCGUUGUUAUCCCUCAAAUAGCAUGGAAGGCUAAAGGAAAACAAUUAAUGAUUGUGUUAACUCUGCUGGGAAAGUGUAUGAUUUUGGUAUAACAUGUUUGUUGUUGAGCUGUAUUAUACAUUUGUACUUGUGGAAAACUAUCAACAGAGUUCUAAAUAAAAGUGUACUAGGAGAAGGAAAUGCAAUGUUCUGAAAA
RNA transcript from Brassica napus (rape), 1357 nucleotides. It is a transcript of the gene named glutamate--cysteine ligase, chloroplastic-like, with no coding region annotated. NCBI's taxonomy places the organism in Eukaryota, Viridiplantae, Streptophyta, Magnoliopsida, Brassicales, Brassicaceae. The record is from RefSeq and is a predicted model, not a curated record. The transcript has 5 exons.